This 104-nucleotide non-coding RNA is filed under the name Chloroflexota bacterium. RNAcentral describes it as "Chloroflexi bacterium SAM-I sequence". It matches the Rfam family "SAM riboswitch aptamer (S box leader)". Rfam says of the family: The SAM riboswitch is found upstream of a number of genes which code for proteins involved in methionine or cysteine biosynthesis in Gram-positive bacteria. The SAM riboswitch acts at the level of transcription termination control. The record is from RNAcentral. Lineage: Bacteria; Bacillati; Chloroflexota.
CUCUUAUCAAGAGUGGCAGAGGGACCGGCCCGAUGAAGCCACGACAACCUACCGACGCAUCGGCAAGGUGCCAAGUCCGGGCAGGUCCUCCUGCACGAUAAGGG